AACGAACGCUGGCGGCAUGCCUAACACAUGCAAGUCGAACGAACCCUUCGGGGUUAGUGGCGCACGGGUGCGUAACACGUGGAAUCUGCCCUUUGCUUCGGAAUAACAGUUAGAAAUGACUGCUAAUACCGGAUGAUGUCGUAAGACCAAAGAUUUAUCGGCAAAGGAUGAGCCCGCGUAGGAUUAGGUAGUUGGUGGGGUAAAAGCCUACCAAGCCGACGAUCCUUAGCUGGUCUGAGAGGAUGAUCAGCCACACUGGGACUGAGACACGGCCCAGACUCCUACGGGAGGCAGCAGUGGGAAUAUUGGACAAUGGGCGGAAGCCUGAUCCAGCAAUGCCGCGUGAGUGAUGAAGGCCUU
Molecule: ribosomal RNA, 360 nt
Filed under: uncultured bacterium
Lineage: Bacteria
Description: bacterial SSU rRNA
Rfam family: Bacterial small subunit ribosomal RNA
Source: RNAcentral